UACGUAGGGGGCAAGCGUUGUCCGGAAUUACUGGGCGUAAAGCGCACGUAGGCGGAUUGUUUAGUCAGAGGUGAAAUCCCAGGGCUCAACCCUGGAACAGCCUUUGAUACUGGCAGUCUUGAGUCCGAGAGAGGUGAGUGGAAUUCCGAGUGUAGAGGUGAAAUUCGUAGAUAUUCGGAGGAACACCAGUGGCGAAGGCGGCUCACUGGCUCGGUACUGACGCUGAGGUGCGAAAGCGUGGGGAGCAAACAGG
Molecule: unclassified non-coding RNA, 253 nt
Filed under: Alphaproteobacteria bacterium
Lineage: Bacteria; Pseudomonadati; Pseudomonadota; Alphaproteobacteria
Description: contains 16S-23S intergenic spacer region
Rfam family: Bacterial small subunit ribosomal RNA
Source: RNAcentral